GGUAGUCCACGCUGUAAACGAUGUCGACUUGGAGGUUGUGCCCUUGAGGCGUGGCUUCCGGAGCUAACGCGUUAAGUCGACCGCCUGGGGAGUACGGCCGCAAGGUUAAAACUCAAAUGAAUUGACGGGGGCCCGCACAAGCGGUGGAGCAUGUGGUUUAAUUCGAUGCAACGCGAAGAACCUUACCUACUCUUGACAUCCAGAGAACUUUCCAGAGAUGGAUUGGUGCCUUCGGGAACUCUGAGACAGGUGCUGCAUGGCUGUCGUCAGCUCGUGUUGUGAAAUGUUGGGUUAAGUCCCGCAACGAGCGCAACCCUUAUCCUUUGUUGCCAGCGCGUGAUGGCGGGAACUCAAAGGAGACUGCCGGUGAUAAACCGGAGGAAGGUGGGGAUGACGUCAAGUCAUCAUGGCCCUUACGAGUAGGGCUACACACGUGCUACAAUGGCGUAUACAAAGGGAAGCGACCCCGCGAGGGCAAGCGGAACUCAUAAAGUACGUCGUAGUCCGGAUUGGAGUCUGCAACUCGACUCCAUGAAGUCGGAAUCGCUAGUAAUCGUAGAUCAGAAUGCUACGGUGAAUACGUUCCCGGGCCUUGUACACACCGCCCGUCACACCAUGGGAGUGGGUUGCAAAAGAAGUAGGUAGCUUAACCUCCGGGAGGGCGCUUACCACUUUGUGAUUCAUGACUGGGGUGAAGUCGUAACAAGGUAACCGUAGGGGAACCUGCGGUUGGAUCACCUCCUUA
This 745-nucleotide ribosomal RNA is filed under the name Salmonella enterica. RNAcentral's name for it is "bacterial SSU rRNA". It matches the Rfam family "Bacterial small subunit ribosomal RNA", at positions 789 to 1533 of the family's 1533-position model. The record is from RNAcentral. Lineage: Bacteria; Pseudomonadati; Pseudomonadota; Gammaproteobacteria; Enterobacterales; Enterobacteriaceae.